UACGUAGGUGGCAAGCGUUGUUCGGAAUUAUUGGGCGUAAAGGGCGCGUAGGCGGUUUGUUAAGUCGGCUGUGAAAGCCCGGGGCUCAACCCCGGAGGGUCAGCCGAUACUGGCAGGCUAGAGUACAGAAGAGGUAACUGGAAUUCCCGGUGUAGCGGUGAAAUGCGCAGAUAUCAGGAGGAACACCGGUGGCGAAGGCGGAUCUCUGGGCCUGUUCUGACGCUGAGGCGCGAAAGCGUGGGGAGCAAACAGG
Molecule: ribosomal RNA, 253 nt
Filed under: uncultured bacterium
Lineage: Bacteria
Description: partial 16S ribosomal RNA
Rfam family: Bacterial small subunit ribosomal RNA
Source: RNAcentral